GGGUCGAUGAUGAGACCUCAUACUAUCUUGAAGAGAGAUGAUGACCAUGCUAUCUGUUCACACCC
Molecule: small nucleolar RNA, 65 nt
Organism: Oryctolagus cuniculus (rabbit)
Lineage: Eukaryota; Metazoa; Chordata; Mammalia; Lagomorpha; Leporidae
Gene: SNORD115
Rfam family: Small nucleolar RNA SNORD115
About the family: HBII-52 is a member of the C/D class of snoRNAs, which contain the C (UGAUGA) and D (CUGA) box motifs.
Source: Ensembl